GCAUUAAUGGGGUAGUGGUAACCUGGGUCGUUGCCACUGGCGAGUAAUUUCGACCCGCCGGGGGUUCGAUUCCCCCUUAAUGCA
This is a non-coding RNA of Termitomyces sp. T32_za158, 84 nucleotides long. The record is from the annotation of a GenBank genome assembly. NCBI's taxonomy places the organism in Eukaryota, Fungi, Basidiomycota, Agaricomycetes, Agaricales, Lyophyllaceae.